Molecule: ribosomal RNA, 350 nt
Filed under: Vibrio splendidus
Lineage: Bacteria; Pseudomonadati; Pseudomonadota; Gammaproteobacteria; Vibrionales; Vibrionaceae
Description: bacterial SSU rRNA
Rfam family: Bacterial small subunit ribosomal RNA
Source: RNAcentral
AAAUUGAAGAGUUUGAUCAUGGCUCAGAUUGAACGCUGGCGGCAGGCCUAACACAUGCAAGUCGAGCGGAAACGACAACAUUGAAUCUUCGGAGGAUUUGUUGGGCGUCGAGCGGCGGACGGGUGAGUAAUGCCUAGGAAAUUGCCUUGAUGUGGGGGAUAACCAUUGGAAACGAUGGCUAAUACCGCAUAAUGCCUACGGGCCAAAGAGGGGGAUCUUCGGACCUCUCGCGUCAAGAUAUGCCUAGGUGGGAUUAGCUAGUUGGUGAGGUAAUGGCUCACCAAGGCGACGAUCCCUAGCUGGUCUGAGAGGAUGAUCAGCCACACUGGAACUGAGACACGGUCCAGACU